UCCUCUUCGCAUUCGACACAGCUUCUGCGGUCCAAAGUUUGCAGAAGCGAGAAUAACAGAAGCAUCAGCAAAUUCAAAAUUCUACAAGUCCAAAAAUUUUUCGUUAGUCACCCGAACUCACCCCUAGGACCCUGGGACCUCAACCAAAAAUACCAAUACAUCCUAAAAUGUUAUUCAAACUUGUUCCAAUCAUCAAAACACCUCAAAAAACACCAAAACCAUCGAAUUACAUCGAAUUCAAGCCUAAGUUCUCCUAAAACUUUUGAAACACGCAUUCGAUCAAAAACCCAACCAAAUCACCUAUGAAUGACCUGAAACUUUGCACACACAUCACCAAUCACAUAUGAAGCUACAACAACUCUCAGAAUUCCUUUCCGACCCUCGGAUCAAAAUCUCACCUAUCAACCGGAAUUCGCCAAAAUACUAAUUUUGCCAAUUCAAGCCAAUUUCUACAUCGGGCCUCCAAAAUCACUUCCUCACACUCCUAAGCCACAAAUCAUCGCUGAAGCUAGCCAAGUUAUCAGAAAUCACAUUCGAGCCCUCUAACUCAUAAGUCAAUAUCCGGUUGACUUUUCCAAACUAGGCUUCCUUGAAGACUAAGUAUCUCAUUUCCUACCAAAAUCAAUCCAAAACAACUCGAUCACACCAAAUAUCGAUAAUGAAACAUGAAGAAGCAGAAAAUGGGGAAAAAGGGAUGGUAACUCAUGCGACGAUGGGUCGAUUCAUCACAUCAACCCAUAUUAACCUAAGCCGAAUACCCCUAAAAUCCUAGACUUAGACGUAAAAAAAACCCUACAAUACUAGUCGUUAUUCUUAGCAAAAAAUAACACCAGAAAACCCUAGACUAGCUCUCCACCUUCUUCAACAACAACGUAACGCCGCCCUACAACCACCACCAGCCAUCGGUCCACUUUUCUCCACCGGCUACCUGCGGUGGACAGACCCCAUCAGCAUUUUUCUUCUACUUCGCAUGGAACAGACAUGCACGGACCCCCUCCAUUCAGCCACACCCCACCCCCUGAAAUCCAACGCCUACAGCUGCUCUCUCACGACCAAAAAAACGCCGGAAUAUCAACCAAACAGACCCGUCUCCAUCCACUUUCACCAGGUCUCGCCGGAAAUAGCGACCAACAGUGACGAAGGGCUAUGGUCGUCACUGAAAUCUUCAGAUCUGCUUAAUCGUCUAAGUUUUCAGGCAAGGCAUUUGGUUUCCGAUUCGAGGUUCUAGCUGCCGGUUCAGGGACGGUUCGAGGUCCGAUUUAGUUGUUGCUCGUGUUUGUUUUCGUCGCCGGAACUUUCGCACGGUCAGUCCGAACAUAUCUUUGUAGUCACUGAUUUUACUCAUUUAAAAGAAGCCAUCUCAGGUUCAAUAUUCCCCACUCUCACUUCUAUUUUGACGUCAAUUUUGAAUGCGAUAUGAAUAGCAUGAUACCUAUCUAUUGUUUCUUUUUAAUUUUUC
This 1459-nucleotide long non-coding RNA is filed under the name Nicotiana benthamiana. RNAcentral describes it as "long non-coding RNA (NBEN_LNC042188)". Lineage: Eukaryota; Viridiplantae; Streptophyta; Magnoliopsida; Solanales; Solanaceae. The record is from RNAcentral.